RNAcentral lists this long non-coding RNA (569 nucleotides) under Phoenix dactylifera (date palm). RNAcentral describes it as "long non-coding RNA (PDAC_LNC002773)". Lineage: Eukaryota; Viridiplantae; Streptophyta; Magnoliopsida; Arecales; Arecaceae. The record is from RNAcentral.
GAUUAUUUUGUGCAUCAACGAUUGUGUUUCGUAUGGUAUAUGAUGGCGGUGUAGUAUAUACUUAUUUGUUAAGUAUAUGGGCAUCUUUAAUGGUUGAAUGUAUCAUGUAUUACUUAUUUAAGUGUGUGGACUUGUAUUGUGCAUGUAUUGAAUUUUGUGAAAGAGCGAGAUGUUGUAUCAUAUUCACAUAACAAGCAUGUUAUUAAGUUGUAUAUUUUGUAUGGUUAGUUGUGGUGCUUUGGACUAGCCACGUUAUUGAUGCCCCGCCUCAGGGCAAAUUUUACUAUUAUCCGCACCUGCCACGGAUCUGCUGUGGGAAAGGCCAAACCCACCCUAUUAGGAUCGGGACGGGUUAGGUACCCGAUAGGGUGAAGUAAAUUACCACCCCUAGACAAGGAGAGAGAAAGUAAGAGUCGGAAUUGGUGACGAGUGAAACAAACCUAGGGCCAAUGAACAAUUGUUUUGGUUCAAAUAAAUUACCAUAUCUAAUUAAGUUGGCAAUACUUGCUCUUCUUGCUACGACAAACAUAUAAUGGAGCUUGAAUUUAUCAUAAACCUAAAUAUUAAUA